Molecule: ribosomal RNA, 555 nt
Filed under: uncultured bacterium
Lineage: Bacteria
Description: bacterial SSU rRNA
Rfam family: Bacterial small subunit ribosomal RNA
Source: RNAcentral
GCGCGUAGGCGGUCUGUUAAGUGUAGAGUGAAAUCUCCAGGGCUCAACCCGGAAACUGCUCUGCAUACUGGCAGACUUGAGGAUUGCAGAGGUUUGUGGAAUUCCCGGUGUAGCGGUGAAAUGCGUUGAUAUCGGGAGGAACACCCAUGGCGAAGGCAGCAAACUGGGCAAUAUCUGACGCUGAGGCGCGAAAGCGUGGGUAGCAAACAGGAUUAGAUACCCUGGUAGUCCACGCCCUAAACGAUGGAUACUAGGCGUAAGAGGUAUCGACCCCUCUUGUGCCGCAGCUAACGCACUAAGUAUCCCGCCUGGGGACUACGGCCGCAAGGUUGAAACUCAAAUGAAUUGACGGGAACCCGCACAAGCGGUGGAGCAUGUGGAUUAAUUCGAUAUUAACCGAAGAACCUUACCCAGACUUGACAUCGAUCGCAAGCCUUAGAAAUAGGGCCCUCUCUCACAAGGAGACGUGAAGACACUUGUUGCAUGGCUGUCGUCAGCUCGUGCCGUGAGGUGUACGGUUAAGUCCGCCAACGAGCGCAACCCUCGUCCUGUGUU